RNAcentral lists this long non-coding RNA (226 nucleotides) under Nicotiana benthamiana. RNAcentral describes it as "long non-coding RNA (NBEN_LNC003910)". Lineage: Eukaryota; Viridiplantae; Streptophyta; Magnoliopsida; Solanales; Solanaceae. The record is from RNAcentral.
UCGGCGAGGCAAAGGGAGGCCUAAGAGGUAUUGGGGAGAGGUUAUUAGGCAUGACAUGGCUACAAUGCGGGUUUCCGAGGACAUGGCCCUUGAUAGGAAACUAUGGAGGUCUAGUAUCAGGGUUGUAGGAUAGGGACCCCUAGAGUUUUUCGUCCUACUCACCUGGGGUUGGGUGAGGCUUGGCAGGGCUAUCCAUAGAUGAUUUGUGUUUUGGAAUGUGUCUCCC